This 4757-nucleotide long non-coding RNA is filed under the name Canis lupus familiaris (dog). RNAcentral's name for it is "lncRNA (ENSCAFG00845007260.1)". Lineage: Eukaryota; Metazoa; Chordata; Mammalia; Carnivora; Canidae. The record is from RNAcentral.
UUUUUUUAAAAAAAGAUUUUAUUUAUUUAUUCAUGAGAGACACAGAGAGAGGCAGAAACACAGGCAGAGGGAGAAGCAGGCUCCCUGCAGGGAGCCCGAUGUGGGACUUGAUCCCAGAACCCUGGGAUCACGCCCUGAGCCAAAGGCAGACGCUCAACUACUGAGCCACCCAGGUUCCCCUUGAAGUGGUAAAAUUCUUAUAACCAUAAGAAUUGUCUAAAACUGAUAUAUCGAGUAAGAGCAGCAUAAACCCAUUAUUUAGAAAUAGAGAGAGGUGCCUGGGUGGCUCAAUAAGUUAAAGUCCAACUCUUGAUUUUGGCUCAGGUCAUGUUCGCAGGGUCCUACGAUCUCCCCCUAUGGGGCUCCACACUUAGCACAGAGUCUGCUUGGGAUUCUGUCUCCCUCUCUCUCUCUGCCCCUCCCCCAGCUUGUGCUCUCUCUCUCUCUCUAUCUGUCUCUCUCUCAAAUAAAUAACAUCUUUUAAAAAAGAGAUAUAGAAAUAAAUGUGAGAAAAAAAAUGGAAAUUGGUUACUUCCAAGAAGUAGGACUGGUGGAUAGAAAAGAUAGGGAAAAAUAGCCUGCUAUUUUUCAAUAAAAGCUUUCUAGUACCCUAAUUUUUUUUAGCUAUGUGUAAUAGAACUGCAAUAUUUUAAAAUUUAAUUAUACCAUAGGAAAAUUUUGCCAUUGGCUCCAAUAGCAUUCUCUCUACCUCUUAUCUCUGUAAUGCCAUGCAUGUUGUCCCUAACUCUGACUUUCCUUAUAGCACCCCUCCUAAUUCAACUUAUAUCCCCUGUCAAGUUCUGCCCCUGGGGUGGGAUUGCAUGGAAUGAUGUGUGCAAUAUUGCAUAUACCAGGUCAACUGUAUUUCCUUUUUGCAUUUUAUUUACAAUUUAUACUAUCUCAAACCACGAUAAAAUGCUGUAUCAAUGAUUGAAAGCAUUUAAUUGAUAACUAAGUUGAGAAAGGAAACAUUUUGGGGAUUAAGGAUACCUUUCCAGUCCUGGUGGUCUCUAAAUAUGUAGGUGGUUGUAUAUUUACAUUUUUGUCUUGGGGAGGGCUUUCCUUUGAACCAGCCCAAGCACCUGGAAUGUCUCAUACACUCAUCAGGAAACUUAACUUGCCAUCUGUUUUGCAGUAAUACUGGGGAGGACAUUACUGAUGAACACUCUGGCAGCCCCGAUUCCCAAAUACUUUUCACUUAAGAAACAUUAAACAUUUUGAAACAGAUUCUUGGAGAAGAGCACAACAGCCUCUCUGGCAGCUUUCAUGGUAUUCCUCAAUGGUUAUUUUUGUUCCUCCAUCUAAAAACAACAGCACAGAGGGAGGAGGAGAACACAUGGCCUCCUCAUGGGGCCAGAACUCUACUUUAAAAUUGCCAAAAAGAUCUAGCAACAGCUGUGUCCAUUGGAAGACAACAUCAACUUGUGCCACCUGCCCAGACUCACCAAAUAAUGAGGGGUCAAGUGACACCAGCCUCUCAAAUGGUGACUUGGAUUAUUUUUAAGGAAAUGACUGAGAUGAUCUUUCUUCCCCUUUUCCCUCUCUCUAUAGAGACAGGGGCAUUUGGGUAUAUAUAUAUAUAUAUAUAUAUAUAUAUAUAUAUAUAUGUAUAUAUAUCCAACUUAAAACUCAGUCCUGAGAAUUCUAGGAAAAAGAAUAUGGCAGUGGCAUCUUGAAAAGCAAUCCCAUUGGAAGGAUCAUGGAUGACUGAGACAGCUAGCAUGUCAACCUGCCCAGAUGAGGCAUAGCUAAUGGAAUUGGUACUAGGAUGGAAAUCGGGACAGUUGGUUCAUGAUUCUGCUUUGCACUCAUCUUGUAACUUAAUGUGGUGCCAUCCCCAUCUCCACAGCCCCCCAUUUCCUCAACUGAGUGACAGGGACAACACUGACUGCUCCAUCUCCCUCCUAGAUGAUCUGCAAGUUACAUGGCAUGUGAAAGAGCUUUAUUUAGAGCAUAAGGUCUUAUAUGAGUGAGAUCAUCAAAAAAGAGUUUUUAAUAUCAUUUUUGAGAUUGGUAAAGGUUUAUCUCUUGGACUAAGAACAGACCCCAGAUUUCAAAUUCUCUCAUGUAAUGCAAAGAAGGGCAAUUAGCCAGCAGCCUCCAUGACUCAUAGCCUGGCUGCCUCCAAACUCAGGCCUCACAAUUUCUGUCCCUCAGGGAGAAACUGAGCCCCCUCCCACCUCCCAGCCCCAUCAAUACAGCAUCUUAUCCUUUAUUCCCUUUCCUGUCAAUUCAGAUGAUGGAAGGGCCAGGGAAGCAGCAUAAAUGAAUGAACCAGCCUAGGCAUGGAGACAUGCGGCUACCCACAGACAACCCAUGCUACUGAAGGGGUCACCAUUACUCAGCUCCUGAAGUUUUGAGUCCUCCAGUCUUUUAAGAGAAGAUGGAAAUCUGAUGUUACAAGUAGUCUUGGACUGUCGAAAGGUUAACCAAUAAUUUUAAAUGUUUGAAACAUCACGGGGCCAAACCGGAAAUAUUUACACACGCACUGAAGGUCUGCAAUAUCUGAUAGAGGCUAACCCCUGCAUCUUGACAAGCAAAAAUGCUCAAGCCCUAAGAAACAGCACAGUAGAGUUUGAAGACUCUGUCCUCUCUCAUCUGCAGCUAAUUUACUGUAUGACUUCGAGGAAGCCUCUUACCCUUUUAAAAUCCCAGGGUCCUCAACUAUGAAAGGGGAUAAUUAUAUAUUCUUCAUAAAAUUUUUAGAGGAAAUAAAUAAGAUCAUAGAUAAUACAUAAAAAUCACCAGGUGCAUAAAUAGGUGCUUGAUAAGCAUCUCCUUUUCCCUUGCGGCCAGCAAGUUGAUAAAACUGCAGAAAUCCAUAAACGUUUAUCUCCUGAAGCCAGCUGGGUUCUUUCCCCCACUGUAUUCCCCACUGCUUCCUUGCCUCUAUAGUUCCCAUUUGCAGAGCCUGGGGUGUGAUUUACCUUGGAACCAGCCUGAGCACAGGACUGGGACAUGAGACACCUGCUCUCUGAUUUACCUCAUUUCCUGGGAAAAAGAACCACCACCAUCCUCUACAAGUCUCAUUUUUCUUCUCUGGAACACAAUUGCCAACCAAUUGUUGUGAAAUGAGACAACAAAUCUGUUACAUUGCCCCAAGUCAUAGUAGAUCCAUCCGUGAAACCCAGAAUGCCCACGAGUCUGGGAUCAGCCUCUAACUUGACAUUCCAAGGCCUAAGGAAUGUGUUUUUUAAAGUAGGCCGUUAUUAUUAUUCAGAUAUGGUGAGGCUGGCAGAUUGCCAAGAGACAAUUGCUGAUGAAAAGAGUUUGUUACACACAGGUCCCAAGAGGAGGACUCACACCCUGCCAUAGUGGCCACAGAAGGAAGCACUGUAGUCGGUCAGGAGGCAGUGGAAGGAAGGAAAAGUCAGCAAGAAGGUUUAUUGUAGUUUCCACAGGAAGGAAAGAGCAAGACAAGGUAAGCAAGUUUAGGAUUGGCUAGUUUGAAUAAUCUCAAGGGGGAUCUCUAGGUGUAGGGACUGUCUCUAGUUGUCUGGUACUGGGCCCUGGGGUGGCUGGGGUAUGGGUUCUGGAUUGGUUGGUUUGCAUAUGAAAGUUGUGCUUGUAGGCAAGUCCUUUAAGGUCUCUAGGAACUGGCUAGCCCAGGGCAGUCCCUCCUGGGUCUGCAAAGCCCCAGAUGCAAAGCAUUAGGAAUACAGAAAAUACAAAGGCACGAUUAAUACAGAGAAAUCUGUAUCUGCCCCUUCCACCGGACAGACAUCAGCAUGUCCAGAAGGAGCCUUCCAUAAUAGGCUCCCAAUAAGAAAAAAAGAGGAAAAAUGUGUUCCUAAAAGCUUUUACAGGGAGAGGCCCCUUGUGUAUGAAUAGAAGGUCAAGGUGCUCAGAGAGGAAAGGCAGCAGACUAAUGCACCCUUGAGCCCAAAGCAGGGAUAGGCAUGCUGCUUUAAAAAAAGAAAAAGAGAAAAAGAAAAGAAAAAGGUAGGUUUUUUUGCAGGUAAGCACUGUCCAUGACCUUCAUCUCUUAACAUCCUGGGUUCUCUUUUUGAGGCUAAAUGAAGCCACACUCUGUCUGAGUGGAGAAAAUUAAAUUUGAACGCUGAAAUUGCAAUGGAAUGAUGAUGAUUCUGCUUGAGUGCGUUGACCUUUAUCAACCAUUUCAUUAGAAUUUCUGGAGCACGACACUGGGCUAGGCAUCCCCUGCAACUGUCCAUCUGAAGAAGGAGACUUCUCUCCUGGCUCAAGCCCAGAUCAUCAUUCCCCAGCAUCCGAGACGGGGGAAGCAGAAUCAAAUUCGAAGAAUUCCGUAAUCUAGUUAGUGAAUAGUUGUAGUAGACAAUGAACACAGCAGUCGGGCGGCAAAAAUCUCUAGAGAAUGCUGUUUCUCUUCCUGUGACUGAAAAAACAAUUAGGUUUCUCAAUAUUCCUCCAGCGAAGGCUUGGAUUUCAGGGCUAAGAUAUCAGACAAACUGCCGGUUGGAGGUUCGUCUGUCAGUUCAACUAGAUAAUCAGAAAAGAAUGGUUAGGUACACAUGUAUAAAAGCCGUGCUCAUAAGAAAAGCAAAAUGCUUUUAGAACCAUAUGACCAGGAUUUUAAAGACGGGACCACAUUUUACUAUUUAAGAAAAAAAUAUUUUUAUUUGCAAGAAAUGGAAAUACAAAAGCGUAACAAUUUCAAUUCAUUUUUUUCCCAAACUAAGUACAAGUAUCCUACAAAGCCUUUUUUUUUUUUUUUUUUAAAUUUUUGGUAUUUCCUUAGCUAUAAUAAAAAAUAAAAAGCCAUUAAAAAAAAAAAA